UCUAGAAAAUCUCAUCAUCUUUUAGAACUUCAGAACUUCAGCUUCUCAAACUCUUGCAUCUCAUCUUGCAUAAAAGAAUUCAGCUAAAUAUGAAGAUCUUUGUCCUUGCCUUCAUCAUGGCUCUCAUGGUUGCCAUGACUAGUGCUGAUUCAUCUGAAGAGAAAUAUCGUCAUAGAGGAAGACAUAGGUUUCCACCCCCAUACUAUUACCCAUAUCCACAACCGUAUCCAUCUCCAUACACAUAUCCAUAUCCAUAUCCAUAUCCAGUGGCUUAUGGUGGUCAGUAAGCACAGGACAUGAUCACAGGCUUGGUGAGAAGUAUUUUUUGGUCUCUACAUGUGAUGAUUCUUCCUACUCAAAAAUGAUUUCACCCAUCUAGCAACAUAUUAUCAGUUCUCAUCUAAUAAAUAUAUCCAUAGUGCUUCCAAAAGUAUUUUAUAAAACAAUUUUUAAAGCUAGGUAUUAUUUGUUUUCUCUUAAGUAUUGGACUGGAAUUUAAAAACGGUAUGACCAACAAAUAAUGUUUCUUUGUACAAAUUCCAGCUUUCAAUAAACAAAUAGAAAAAAAAAAAGGAAAAGUCAAUCAAGUAAUGUUACCUGAAUAACAGACACCUGAGAUCAAUGAUCAAUAUUUCUAAAACAGUAGUGAUGAUAAUCUCUGGACAAUUUGAUUGUUUUCUGUACUGUUCUCUGUAUUGAAGUUACCAUAAAAUUAAAAAAAA
This is a long non-coding RNA of Rhinolophus ferrumequinum (greater horseshoe bat), 722 nucleotides long. RefSeq lists it as uncharacterized. The transcript is spliced from 6 exons. The record is from RefSeq and is a predicted model, not a curated record. NCBI's taxonomy places the organism in Eukaryota, Metazoa, Chordata, Mammalia, Chiroptera, Rhinolophidae.